AUUGAACGCUGGCGGAAUGCUUUACACAUGCAAGUCGAACGGCAGCACGGGGGCAACCCUGGUGGCGAGUGGCGAACGGGUGAGUAAUACAUCGGAACGUGCCCAAUCGUGGGGGAUAACGUAGCGAAAGCUACGCUAAUACCGCAUACGAUCUACGGAUGAAAGCGGGGGAUCGCAAGACCUCGCGCGAAUGGAGCGGCCGAUGGCAGAUUAGCUUGUUGGUAGGGUAACGGCCUACCAAGGCUACGAUCAGUAGGGGUUCUGAGAGGAUUAACCCCCACACUGGUACUGAGACACGGACCAGACUCCUACGGGAGGCAGCAGUGAGGAAUAUUGGUCAAUGGGCGGAAGCCUGAACCAGCCAUCCCGCGUGAAGGAAGACAGCCUUACGGGUUGUAAACUUCUUUUCUGUCAGAAGAAUAAGCUUGCGAGACGAGUGAUGCCGGUAUGACAGGAAUAAGCAUCGGCUAACUCCGUGCCCAGCAGCCGCGGU
Molecule: ribosomal RNA, 493 nt
Filed under: uncultured bacterium
Lineage: Bacteria
Description: bacterial SSU rRNA
Rfam family: Bacterial small subunit ribosomal RNA
Source: RNAcentral